CCCCGCCUCUCUUCAUGCGCAGCGAUGCAGCAGAGCGCGGUUGCAAAGGGGGAGCCUCGCAACAAAGAACAGCUGAUAAGCCUCUGUUCCUCUCUCUGAGGAGAGGGGGGCUGUGCAAUUGUCUACGUACAUGGAUUAUUGAUCUCUUUGCAUAUUCUCCAUUAACUUUGAGGGAGUGAGAAUCACGCACAUGCUUCUCUUCCAAGAUGACCAUCACCAUGGACUAAGACUUCUACUUUUUCUAUCUAAGCUAGAGCCUAUGUUUCCUGAACGUAUGAAAGGUUAUGGUGCCAGCGACAAUGCCCAGAAUGCCUGUCUUCUCCAUGUCCUGCAAGACCACCUCGUUGUUCUUCAGCCAGGUGAUGUUCAGCACCAGGGGAGAGAAGCGGUCCACCAAGCAGAUGAGGACAAUGGGAUCCCCCAGUUCCACAGGGUCUUCCACGUACACGGUUGCCAAAGGAGCCACUGAAGAAGGAAUGGGACAAGGCCAGAGACAAUACUCUGUGUCCUCCGGAGGCUCAUUCCUUCCCUGUGUGACCUGAUCCUGGCAGUCCCUGGUCACAAGCGGCAUCCCCUCCGAGGCCUGCCAUUCCUGGUCCUCGAUGCCUCUCCCAGGAAGCCACACUGUGGAAAUCCCUUUUAUGCCCUUCCCAGGGUGAGCAACUUCAGCUAAGCCAGAGGGGAGGCCCUGAGACUCUUUGAGAUGGCCAUCCCCUUCCCCACCCCUCUGGGCAUGAGACUGGAGUCACAGAUUCAUAUAGCUGAAAGGUACCUCAGAGGUCAUCUAGUCCAAUCCCCUGCUGAUGUAGGAAGACCUCUCCUGCAGCAUCCCAGGAUAUUCCCUUUCUGUGAGAAUCAGGGGGCCUCCUUUCCUUGCAAGUGUGAGAACUUCUGGGCUUGUCCUAUCAAAUGCAGCAGUGUCUCUCUCUGUGGGGGGGCUUCGUUCCCUUUCAGUCUGUCUGUGUGAGGCAGGUUGGACUCCAUGGCCUUACAGGCCCCUUCCAACUCUACUGUCCAACAACCCUAGGCAUGGGUUGCUUCCCUCGGGCAGGAUUUCUGGGGUAGUGGAAGAGGCUGAAGGGGUUUGUCAUAGAAGCCAUGAGGAACCCCCCCUGCACGCCUGGGUCCUCCCCUCCAUCCUGUUGGAAAUGGGGCAGGAGCCACUCCUCUUUGAGUUUUUGUGUGUGUGUUCCAGAAGAAAGAUAGAGUGAGGGUCCUCCAGCUGGCUAGGCUUGCCUAACUUUACAUGUGCUGUUCUCUAGCUAACUUCCUUUGGUUGGAAACUGAUAUGCUGCAUUGCACCUCAACUUUGUCACUUAGAAGUAGGUAUGCCUUUCCUAUCUAUUGUACACCACCCAGAGAGCUUGCUACGGGCGGUAUAGAAAUCGAAUUAAUUAAAUAAAUAAUAAUAAAUAAAUAAAAUCUACUAUGUAUUUCUAUAA
This is a long non-coding RNA of Rhineura floridana, 1442 nucleotides long. RefSeq lists it as uncharacterized. NCBI's taxonomy places the organism in Eukaryota, Metazoa, Chordata, Lepidosauria, Squamata, Rhineuridae. The transcript has 4 exons. The record is from RefSeq and is a predicted model, not a curated record.